UUCCGGUUGAUCCCGCCAGACCUGACUGCUAUCGGAUUGAUACUAAGCCAUGCGAGUCAUUGUAGCAAUACAAGGCAUACGGCUCAGUAACGCGUAGUCAACCUAACCUAUGGACGGGAAUAACCUCGGGAAACUGAGAAUAAUGCCCGAUAGAACACUAUACCUGGAAUGGUUUGUGUUCCAAAUGAUUUAUCGCCGUAGGAUGGGACUGCGGCCUAUCAGUUUGUUGGUGAGGUAAUGGCCCACCAAGACUAUUACAGGUACGGGCUCUGAGAGGAGUAGCCCGGAGAUGGGUACUGAGACACGGACCCAGGCCCUAUGGGGCGCAGCAGGCGAGAAAACUUUGCAAUGUGCGAAAGCACGACAAGGUUAAUCCGAGUGGUUUCUGCUAAAGGAACCUUUUGUUAGUCCUAGAAACACUAACGAAUAAGGGGUGGGCAAGUUCUGGUGUCAGCCGCCGCGGUAAAACCAGCACCUCAAGUGGUCAGGAUGAUUAUUGGGCCUAAAGCAUCCGUAGCCGGCUCUGUAAGUUUUCGGUUAAAUCUGUACGCUUAACGUACAGGCUGCCGGGAAUACUGCAUAGCUAGGGAGUGGGAGAGGUAGACGGUACUCGGUAGGAAGGGGUAAAAUCCUUUGAUCUAUUGAUGACCACCUGUGGCGAAGGCGGUCUACCAGAACACGUCCGACGGUGAGGGAUGAAAGCUGGGGGAGCAAACCGGAUUAGAUACCCGGGUAGUCCCAGCUGUAAACUAUGCAAACUCAGUGAUGCAUUGGCUUGUGGCCAAUGCAGUGCUGCAGGGAAGCCGUUAAGUUUGCCGCCUGGGAAGUACGUACGCAAGUAUGAAACUUAAAGGAAUUGGCGGGGGAGCACCACAAGGGGUGAAGCCUGCGGUUCAAUUGGAGUCAACGCCGGG
Molecule: ribosomal RNA, 914 nt
Filed under: uncultured archaeon
Lineage: Archaea
Description: bacterial SSU rRNA
Rfam family: Archaeal small subunit ribosomal RNA
Source: RNAcentral